GCAAGUCGAGCGGUAACAGAUUGAUAGCUUGCUAUCAAUGCUGACGAGCGGCGGACGGGUGAGUAAUGCCUGGGAAUAUGUCCUGAUGUGGGGGAUAACUAUUGGAAACGAUAGCUAAUACCGCAUAAUUUCUUCGGAGCAAAGAGGGGGACCUUCGGGCCUCUCGCGUCAGGAUUAGCCCAGGUGGGAUUAGCUUGUUGGUGGGGUAAUGGCUCACCAAGGCAACGAUCCCUAGCUGGUCUGAGAGGAUGAUCAGCCACACUGGAACUGAGACACGGUCCAGACUCCUACGGGAGGCAGCAGUGGGGAAUAUUGCACAAUGGGGGAAACCCUGAUGCAGCCAUGCCGCGUGAGUGAAGAAGGCCUUUGGGUUGUAAAGCUCUUUC
Molecule: ribosomal RNA, 386 nt
Filed under: uncultured bacterium
Lineage: Bacteria
Description: bacterial SSU rRNA
Rfam family: Bacterial small subunit ribosomal RNA
Source: RNAcentral